This 72-nucleotide transfer RNA is filed under the name Phrynosoma platyrhinos (Desert horned lizard). RNAcentral describes it as "tRNA-OTHER". Lineage: Eukaryota; Metazoa; Chordata; Lepidosauria; Squamata; Phrynosomatidae. The record is from RNAcentral.
GAAAGUGUGGAGUAGUGGUUUGAAUAUUGGACUAUGACUCUGGAGACCAGGGUUCAAUUCCCAGCUCAGCCA